Non-coding RNA from Podarcis lilfordi (Lilford's wall lizard), 80 nucleotides. The record is from the annotation of a GenBank genome assembly. NCBI's taxonomy places the organism in Eukaryota, Metazoa, Chordata, Lepidosauria, Squamata, Lacertidae.
UUCUGAAGGGAUGGCAUAGUUGGCAGAGCAUGAGACUCUUAAUCUGAGAGUCAUGGGUUCAAACCCCAUUUUGGGGGAAA